This 253-nucleotide ribosomal RNA is filed under the name uncultured bacterium. RNAcentral's name for it is "partial 16S ribosomal RNA". It matches the Rfam family "Bacterial small subunit ribosomal RNA", at positions 524 to 776 of the family's 1533-position model. The record is from RNAcentral.
UACGUAGGGGGCCAGCGUUGUCCGGAAUCAUUGGGCGUAAAGCGCGUGUAGGCGGCCCGGUAAGUCCGCUGUGAAAGUCGGGGGCUCAACCCUCGGAUGCCGGUGGAUACUGUCGGGCUCGAGUACGGAAGAGGCGAGUGGAAUUCCUGGUGUAGCGGUGAAAUGCGCAGAUAUCAGGAGGAACACCGAUUGCGAAGGCAGCUCGCUGGGACGUUACUGACGCUGAGACGCGAAAGCGUGGGGAGCAAACAGG